AAGGGGGAACAGAGGAAUCGAGAGGAAACUGAGGCAAGAUUUUCCCCAAAGCGACUGUACCGGCCAAGCGAAGAAACUGCCUAGACACAGGAAACUCUUAUCUGCCCUAAGGUUGCCACACAGGGCGCGGCUGGGCUUUUCUCGUUCCUGUAAUAGAGAAGGCUUCCCCCCGGCUUAGAUGGAACAACCUACAUGAUGUGGCGACGGAGUCCUCGCGAACGACCAGCUUGGUCCCACGUGACCUCCGGGGCAGCACUUCCCAGACCUGAGACCCGCUGGGCGGAAGUUGUUUUCAGGCGUUUAGUUGAGAAAGAAUUAAGUUAGUACUGUCCUCCCGCGUUCCCAACGUGCUUGCAUAAGUAUGCUUCGUAGGACCCGCGCUUUUUUCCUUGAAAGUCGAUUUUGCUGGAAUUCUGUAACCUUGUGCUGGGACACCCCAGGGAAAUGGAGGCACCACGCGGUUAAGGAGUUUCUGCUCCGCCGCCCACGUAAUGUGAGCGGCUGAAACACCGAAAGCGGUCUCCUGCCUUCCAGCCGGGAACGCACACUGUCUACCUCUGUUACGCUUUCCCACCCUGACUUAUCUAAAUCUGGCGAUUUCAGCCAGCGGUAGCAGCAGCCAGUCUGUGCCACAGCUGUAGUCGAAGAAUCAAAGAAAGAAAGACGCUACGGGUUGGAAAUCCAUCUGGUCUGUUCCCACCCCCACUUUACAGGUGAAGAAACCGAAACUUAAAAAGAGACUUGACCGUAAAGCACAAUUGCUUGGCGUCAGGGCCGGUUUUCGAAAUGCCUGUUAAUAUUCUGUCACAGCUCAGGCUUUUAGUAAGGGUGAGCGCCAUCUGAUGCCCAACUCACAAAAAUAUUCAGAGGUGCAUCCAUGCUUAUAUCAAAUGGUAAAACUUAGGUUAUAAAAGCUGUAUUUAACGCUGUUUUCAGCUAUUUGUAUUUAUCAUCUAAUUUUAAUUACGUGCAUUUAGUCUAAUAAAAUAACAUCAGUUGCUUUUGAGAUCUGCUUUUCUAUGGAAACCCCAAAAAAGAAGACUGCAUAAGUGCUUUAUCAUUUUUUACCUAAACUUGAAGCCUUUCCUAACCCUAAAAUCGAAUCAGUGGGAUGCUUCUGUACCCUCAUGACUAUGAAUAUUUGUUCCAUCAACUACACUAGUUGGAGAUUUGCUUGGAUGUAAACAAGAAACUCGGUUUUUGACUGAUCCAACCUAUGGCCAGAAGCGUGAGAGUACAGACAAGAGAACCACCAGGCGAAUGUAGGAAACCGCCUCUGCUGAACUGAGCUAGCUACCCAGGAACACACACACCUCAGACGUGACCAGCCACAUCCGUAACCACGUAUGAGCUGCGUCCACCCACAUCUGGAGUUACAGCUUCCCUCUGGCUGCAGAUAAUGCUCCUUCCGCCACCUCAAGGUCACUCACAAGCUGCAGCUCUUCCCAUGCCACCUCCACAGAUGUCAAGGAGUUUUCAGGGUAGCCCUUCUCGAAGUGUAACUCCCGCCUGGACCGGCCCUCGCCCUCUGCACGCAGAUAUCCAUCCAGAGACAGCCCACCCCGGCCGGGACAUCCCCUCCCUGAACCUCGA
Long non-coding RNA from Aethalodelphis obliquidens (Pacific white-sided dolphin), 1593 nucleotides. RefSeq lists it as uncharacterized. NCBI's taxonomy places the organism in Eukaryota, Metazoa, Chordata, Mammalia, Artiodactyla, Delphinidae. The record is from RefSeq and is a predicted model, not a curated record. The transcript has 3 exons.